UACGGAGGGUGCAAGCGUUGUUCGGAAUUACUGGGCGUAAAGGGCGUGUAGGUGGUAGUGUAUGUCAGAUGUGAAAGCCCUGGGCUCAACCCAGGAAGUGCAUUUGAAACUACCCUUCUUGAGUAUGGGAGAGGAGAGUGGAAUUCCCAGUGUAGAGGUGAAAUUCGUAGAUAUUGGGAGGAACACCCAUGGCGAAGGCGGCUCUCUGGACCAAUACUGACACUGAGACGCGGAAGCGUGGGGAGCAAACAGG
This 253-nucleotide ribosomal RNA is filed under the name uncultured bacterium. RNAcentral's name for it is "partial 16S ribosomal RNA". It matches the Rfam family "Bacterial small subunit ribosomal RNA", at positions 524 to 776 of the family's 1533-position model. The record is from RNAcentral.